RNAcentral lists this small nuclear RNA (106 nucleotides) under Octodon degus (degu). Lineage: Eukaryota; Metazoa; Chordata; Mammalia; Rodentia; Octodontidae. The record is from RNAcentral.
GUGUUCACUUCGGAGCACAUAUACUAAAAUUGAAAUGACACAGAGAAGAUUAGCAUGGCCGCUGAGCAGGGAUGACAUGCAAAUUCAUGAAGCGUUCCAUAUUUCU